Molecule: ribosomal RNA, 226 nt
Filed under: uncultured bacterium
Lineage: Bacteria
Description: partial 16S ribosomal RNA
Rfam family: Bacterial small subunit ribosomal RNA
Source: RNAcentral
ACGUUGUUCGGAAUUACUGGGCGUAAAGCGCGUGUAGGCGGCUGCGUAGGUCGGAUGUGAAAUCCCACGGCUCAACCGUGGACGUGCAUUCGAAACCGCACAGCUUGAGUCCCGGAGAGGGUGGUGGAAUUCUCGGCGUAGAGGUGAAAUUCGUAGAUAUCGGGAGGAACACCGGCGGCGAAAGCGGCCACCUGGACGGAGACUGACGCUGAGACGCGAAAGCGUG